RNAcentral lists this ribosomal RNA (440 nucleotides) under uncultured bacterium. Its description in RNAcentral is "partial 16S ribosomal RNA". It matches the Rfam family "Bacterial small subunit ribosomal RNA", at positions 338 to 795 of the family's 1533-position model. The record is from RNAcentral.
CCUACGGGAGGCUGCAGUGGGGAAUAUUGCACAAUGGGGGAAACCCUGAUGCAGCGACGCCGCGUGAGUGAAGAAGUAAUUCGUUAUGUAAAGCUCUAUCAGCAGGGAAGAAAAUGACGGUACCUGAGUAAGAAGCUCCGGCUAACUACGUGCCAGCAGCCGCGGUAAUACGUAGGGGGCAAGCGUUAUCCGGAUUUACUGGGUGUAAAGGGAGCGUAGACGGCAUGGCAAGUCUGGAGUGAAAGGCGGGGGCUCAACCCCCAGACUGCUAUGGAAACUGUAAGGCUGGAGUGCAGGGGAGGUAAGUGGAAUUCCUGGUGGAGCGGUGAAAUGCGUAGAUAUUAGGAAGAACACCAAUGGCGAAGGCAGCUUACUGGACUGUCACUGACGUUGAGGCUCGAAAGCGUGGGGAGCAAACAGGAUUAGAUACCCUAGUAGUC